Molecule: ribosomal RNA, 497 nt
Filed under: uncultured bacterium
Lineage: Bacteria
Description: partial 16S ribosomal RNA
Rfam family: Bacterial small subunit ribosomal RNA
Source: RNAcentral
GAUGAACGCUGGCGGCGUGCCUAAUACAUGCAAGUCGAGCGAAAAGACGAGGCGCUUGCUCCUCUGACGUUAGCGGCGGACGGGUGAGUAACACGUGGAUAACCUACCUAUAAGACUGGGGUAACUUCAGGAAACCGGAGCUAAUACCGGAUAAUAUAUUGAACCGCAUGGUUCAAUAGUGAAAGACGGUUUUGCUGUCACUUAUAGAUGGAUCCGCGCCGCAUUAGCUAGUUGGUAAGGUAACGGCUUACCAAGGCAACGAUGGGUAGCCGACCUGAGAGGGUGAACGGCCACACUGGAACUGGGACACGGUCCAGACACCUACGGGAGGCAGCAGUAGGGAAUGUUCCGCGAAGGGCGGAAGCUUGACGGAGCAACGCCGCGUGAGUGAUGAAGGUCUUCGGAUCGUAAAACUCUGUUAUGAGGGAAGAACAAAUGCGUAAGUAACUAUGCACGUCUUGACGGUACCUAAUCAGAAAGCCACGGCUAACUACGUG